RNAcentral lists this ribosomal RNA (241 nucleotides) under uncultured bacterium. RNAcentral's name for it is "partial 16S ribosomal RNA". It matches the Rfam family "Bacterial small subunit ribosomal RNA", at positions 114 to 354 of the family's 1533-position model. The record is from RNAcentral.
CGCGUGAGCAAUCUGCCUUGGAGUGGGGAAUAACGGUUGGAAACAGCCGCUAAUACCGCAUGAUGCGUCUGGGAGGCAUUUCUCUGGACGCCAAAGAUUUAUCGCUCUGAGAUGAGCUCGCGUCUGAUUAGCUAGUUGGCGGGGCAACGGCCCACCAAGGCGACGAUGCGUAGGGGUUCUGAGAGGAAGGUCCCCCACACUGGUACUGAGACACGGACCAGACUCCUACGGGAGGCAGCAG